AAAACUUGAAUGAACCUUUUGG
Molecule: microRNA, 22 nt
Filed under: Bos taurus (domestic cattle)
Lineage: Eukaryota; Metazoa; Chordata; Mammalia; Artiodactyla; Bovidae
Description: bta-miR-2285ax
Source: miRBase by way of RNAcentral